AAAAGUCAUCUGAGUUGUCCUUCGGAAAUUGUCACCGUCUUGUUGAAGCUCGGAGACGCUUUUGGUAGCUUUUUAUUUGUUUUUUUUUCACACUGUUGUUGUUAACUACUUCUUUUUAUUCCUUCCAUGAUUGUAAUUGUGUAAAUCAUACAAAAUCAUAAUGAAAAGGAGUUAGGGUUACUCGAUCAGUUUGAUUUCUUGCAUUUUUGUUGAAAUUUCUUCUGGAUUUGGGUUCGGUUUGUGAUUU
This 247-nucleotide long non-coding RNA is filed under the name Lathyrus oleraceus (garden pea). RNAcentral's name for it is "Pisum sativum (pea) long non-coding RNA (PSAT_LNC018811)". Lineage: Eukaryota; Viridiplantae; Streptophyta; Magnoliopsida; Fabales; Fabaceae. The record is from RNAcentral.